RNAcentral lists this ribosomal RNA (392 nucleotides) under Sulfitobacter sp. RNAcentral describes it as "bacterial SSU rRNA". It matches the Rfam family "Bacterial small subunit ribosomal RNA", at positions 404 to 812 of the family's 1533-position model. The record is from RNAcentral. Lineage: Bacteria; Pseudomonadati; Pseudomonadota; Alphaproteobacteria; Rhodobacterales; Roseobacteraceae.
UGUGAUGAAGGUCUUAGGAUCGUAAAACACUUUCCCCAGGGAUGAUAAUGACAGUACCUGGUAAAGAAACCCCGGCUAACUCCGUGCCAGCAGCCGCGGUAAUACGGAGGGGGUUAGCGUUGUUCGGAAUUACUGGGCGUAAAGCGUACUUAGGCGGAUCAGAAAGUUAGGGGUGAAAUCCCCGAGGCUCAACCUCGGAACUGCCUCUAAAACUCCUGGUCUUGAGUUCGAGAGAGGUGAGUGGAAUUCCAAGUGUAGAGGUGAAAUUCGUAGAUAUUUGGAGGAACACCAGUGGCGAAGGCGGCUCACUGACUCGAUACUGACGCUGAGGUACGAAAGUGUGGGGAGCAAACAGGAUUAGAUACCCUGGUAGUCCACACCGUAAACGAUGA